GCGCACCAGUCGAGAAUAGUCUACAAUGGACGAAAGUCUGAUAGUGCGACGCCGUGUGUGCGAUUAAUUCCUUCGGGAUGUAAAGCACUUUUCUAUGAGAUAAAAGCUCUUUAGGUUAAUAGCUUAUUGAGACGGAUAUUAUUAUAGGAAUAAGCUCCGGCUAACUCCGUGCCAGCAGCCGCGGUAAUACGGAAGGAGCGAGCGUUGUCCGGAUUUACUAGGCGUAAAGGGCUAGUAGGCGACUAAUUAAGUUAUAUGUUAAAUCCCACGGCUCAACUGUGGUCCUGCAUGUAAUACUGGUUAGAUAGAGUACUGUAGAGGAAGGCAGAAUUCCUGGAGUAGCGGUGGAAUGCGCAGAUAUCAGGAGAAUACCAAAAGCGAAGGCAGCCUUCUGGGCAGUUACUGACGCUGAAUAGCGAAGGUGUGGGUAGCGAACAGGAUUAGAUACCCGUGUA
Molecule: ribosomal RNA, 455 nt
Filed under: uncultured microorganism
Description: bacterial SSU rRNA
Rfam family: Bacterial small subunit ribosomal RNA
Source: RNAcentral